GCCUACGGGAGGCAGCAGUGAGGAAUAUUGGUCAAUGGCCGGAAGGCUGAACCAGCCAAGUCGCGUGAGGGAAUAAGGCCCUAUGGGUCGUAAACCUCUUUUGUCAGGGAGCAAAGGCGUCCAUGAGUGGACGAAAGGAGAGUACCUGAAGAAAAAGCAUCGGCUAACUACGUGCCAGCAGCCGCGGUAAUACGUAGGGGGCAAGCGUUAUCCGGAUUUACUGGGUGUAAAGGGAGCGUAGACGGCUGUGCAAGUCUGAAGUGAAAUGCCGGGGCCCAACCCCGGAACUGCUUUGGAAACUGUAC
Molecule: ribosomal RNA, 305 nt
Filed under: uncultured bacterium
Lineage: Bacteria
Description: bacterial SSU rRNA
Rfam family: Bacterial small subunit ribosomal RNA
Source: RNAcentral